CUGGGCCAUCCCACACUGAAUACACCCAAUGUCAUCUGAUCUUGGAAGCUAAGCAGGGCCAGGCCUGGUUAGUACUUGGAUGGACAACCCAGCCUGGGCACUGUGUUAAAUUAGCAAGAAAUGGUCUUGG
This 130-nucleotide ribosomal RNA is filed under the name Chinchilla lanigera (long-tailed chinchilla). The record is from RNAcentral. Lineage: Eukaryota; Metazoa; Chordata; Mammalia; Rodentia; Chinchillidae.